Molecule: small nucleolar RNA, 311 nt
Organism: Meriones unguiculatus (Mongolian gerbil)
Lineage: Eukaryota; Metazoa; Chordata; Mammalia; Rodentia; Muridae
Source: Ensembl
GCAGAAUUGAAAGUAAUGUUUUAAGAAAUUCAUGUUAUAAGCUGAGUAAGAGAACUGCAUACCAGGUCUAUAAUCGUGGUAGAGACAGAGUUAUGUACAUCCGCUGCAAGUGCGAUCCAAGAAACACUUCGCCCACUUUGAAGCACCUCACUCCAGCAGGAAUGAGUCUUCGGUUGCCAGAGAGAAGGUGUAAACUGUAGUGGAAGGAGAAACAGGACAUAUUCAAGGUACCAGGGCCAGAAGUUUUGAAGGACUCAGCUAUGUCAUGGCCACUGAGAGAUGAAAUGCAUAUUUUUGGUGAUCUGAUGGCU